Molecule: ribosomal RNA, 465 nt
Filed under: uncultured bacterium
Lineage: Bacteria
Description: partial 16S ribosomal RNA
Rfam family: Bacterial small subunit ribosomal RNA
Source: RNAcentral
CCUACGGGAGGCAGCAGUAGGGAAUCUUCCACAAUGGGCGAAAGCCUGAUGGAGCAACGCCGCGUGGGUGAAGAAGGUCUUCGGAUCGUAAAACCCUGUUGUUAGAGAAGAUAGUGCGUGAGAGUAACUGUUCACGUUUCGACGGUAUCUAACCAGAAAGCCACGGCUAACUACGUGCCAGCAGCCGCGGUAAUACGUAGGUGGCAAGCGUUAUCCGGAUUGAUUGGGCGGAAAGGGCACGCAGGCGGUCUUUUAAGUCUGAUGUGAAAGCCUUCGGCUUAACCGGAGUAGUGCAUUGGAAACUGGGAGACUUGAGUGCAGAAGAGGAGAGUGGAACUCCAGGUGGAGGGGUGAAAUGCGUAGAUAUAUGGAAGAACACCAGUGGCGAAAGCGGCUCUCUGGUCUGUAACUGACGCUGAGGUUCGAAAGCGUGGGUAGCAAACAGGAUUAGAUACCCCUGUAGUC